CUUGCAUCCGUCCAGAUUCUUCCCCUCCUCUUUCUUCUCUCUCUCUCCCUUUCUCUGACUGCUCAUUUCUUCUUCUUCCUCUAUUCUUUCUUUACUCUCACUUGAACUACAAUGGUAGAGGACGUGUGUUUCCUCUACAAGAGAAGGUGGAAGAACACAUUAAAGCUGCGAUUUUUAUCUCAAAAAAUCCAAGAGUACAGGAAAGAGAUUCGUGAAGCCAUCGAAGGUUACAAAGGAUAUACAUACUGAUCGUGGUGUCUGUGGCUCAGUGGUAUUUCACGUUCAAUUGCUUACAAUUGGUCUCGACCCAACAUGAAAAUCGGUGUUAGGAUCAUUCACGCAACUUCCUCUUACCGGAACGUUCCUGUUUCUCGCAAAGGAAGAAGCCCAGGUUUUUUGUUUUACAGGAAGAAGCGUAG
Molecule: long non-coding RNA, 419 nt
Organism: Glycine soja
Lineage: Eukaryota; Viridiplantae; Streptophyta; Magnoliopsida; Fabales; Fabaceae
Exons: 5
Source: RefSeq, a predicted model, not a curated record